UGGGGAGGGGCGGGUGCUAUACAUGCAAGUCGAGCGAACUGAUUAGAAGCUUGCUUCUAUGACGUUAGCGGCGGACGGGUGAGUAACACGUGGGCAACCUGCCUGUAAGACUGGGAUAACUUCGGGAAACCGAAGCUAAUACCGGAUAGGAUCUUCUCCUUCAUGGGAGAUGAUUGAAAGAUGGUUUCGGCUAUCACUUACAGAUGGGCCCGCGGUGCAUUAGCUAGUUGGUGAGGUAACGGCUCACCAAGGCAACGAUGCAUAGCCGACCUGAGAGGGUGAUCGGCCACACUGGGACUGAGACACGGCCCAGACUCCUACGGGAGGCAGCAGUAGGGAAUCUUCCGCAAUGGACGAAAGUCUGACGGAGCAACGCCGCGUGAGUGAUGAAGGCUUUCGGGUCGUAAAACUCUGUUGUUAGGGAAGAACAAGUACGAGAGUAACUGCUUGUACCUUGACGGUACCUAACCAGAAAGCCACGGCUAACUACGUGCCAGCAGCCGCGGUAAUACGUAGGUGGCAAGCGUUAUCCGGAAUUAUUGGGCGUAAAGCGCGCGCAGGCGGUUUCUUAAGUCUGAUGUGAAAGCCCACGGCUCAACCGUGGAGGGUCAUUGGAAACUGGGGAACUUGAGUGCAGAAGAGAAAAGCGGAAUUCCACGUGUAGCGGUGAAAUGCGUAGAGAUGUGGAGGAACACCAGUGGCGAAGGCGGCUUUUUGGUCUGUAACUGACGCUGAGGCGCGAAAGCGUGGGGAGCAAACAGGAUUAGAUACCCUGGUAGUCCACGCCGUAAACGAUGAGUGCUAAGUGUUAGAGGGUUUCCGCCCUUUAGUGCUGCAGCUAACGCAUUAAGCACUCCGCCUGGGAGUACGGUCGCAAGACUGAAACUCAAAUGAAUUGACGGGGGCCCGCACAAGCGUGGAGCAUGUGGUUUAAUUCGAAGCAACGCGAAGACUUACCAGGUCUUGACAUCUCUGACACUCUAAGAGAUAGAGCGUUUCCCCUUCGGGGACAGAUGAACAGGUGGUGCAUCCGGUCGUCAGCUCGUGUCGUGAAAUGUUGGUUAAGUCCCGCCACCGAGCGCAACUCGUGA
This 1091-nucleotide ribosomal RNA is filed under the name Priestia megaterium. Its description in RNAcentral is "bacterial SSU rRNA". It matches the Rfam family "Bacterial small subunit ribosomal RNA", at positions 34 to 1108 of the family's 1533-position model. The record is from RNAcentral. Lineage: Bacteria; Bacillati; Bacillota; Bacilli; Caryophanales; Bacillaceae.